AUCUGGCUGAUCUGUGAGAAGUAUUGGAAUGCACGAGGAAGCAUGGGUUGAAAAUGAACCCGAACAAGUGUGCAUUCGGCGUAUCGACCGGGUAGUUCCUAGGAUUCAUGGUUCACGAGCGCGGGAUAGAAGUCAACUGGAAAAUCAUAGCGGCCAUCAAUAAGGUUGUAGCCCCACAGAACAAAACUGAGUUGCAAUCUCUAAUUGGCAAAGUUAAC
RNAcentral lists this long non-coding RNA (218 nucleotides) under Setaria italica (foxtail millet). Its description in RNAcentral is "long non-coding RNA (SITA_LNC004419)". Lineage: Eukaryota; Viridiplantae; Streptophyta; Magnoliopsida; Poales; Poaceae. The record is from RNAcentral.